RNAcentral lists this long non-coding RNA (248 nucleotides) under Gossypium raimondii (Peruvian cotton). RNAcentral's name for it is "long non-coding RNA (GRAI_LNC010191)". The record is from RNAcentral. Lineage: Eukaryota; Viridiplantae; Streptophyta; Magnoliopsida; Malvales; Malvaceae.
GAAGAAAUGGCGGAGAUAGGAAUAGUUACUCUUGCAUCACACCAUACAAGUGGGUGGAAGGUUGACACUCCACUUCCAAGUCGUUUUACGGUUAAAAUUGAGUCUGGAGAGUUGGAAUUUCGUAGCAGACCUCACGAAAGGGAUAUAGGCAAGAAUGUCAUCUAUGGCAAGAAGUGGAGCUCUUUUGUUGAAUCAAAUUUGGAAGCAGUGGUUACUCUUUAUGCCAGACAACAGGGUGAGAACUUCCA